GCCGGGGUGAUGAAAUUGGUAGACAUGUACGCUUCAGAGGCGUAUGACCGCAAGGUCGUGGGAGUUCAAGUCUCCCCCCCGGCACCA
Molecule: transfer RNA, 87 nt
Filed under: Candidatus Vogelbacteria bacterium GWA1_51_14
Lineage: Bacteria; Candidatus Vogeliibacteriota
Description: tRNA-Leu
Rfam family: tRNA
About the family: Transfer RNA (tRNA) molecules are approximately 80 nucleotides in length. Their secondary structure includes four short double-helical elements and three loops (D, anti-codon, and T loops).
Source: RNAcentral